CCUAUAUCCAUGCCUGUUACCUGAUAAAACUUGCGUACAAUGUUGCGGCUAAUGCAAGAAGAACUGCUCUACUCACACUCUGAAGUGUUGGUGCACUUGAAAACUUGAAUCUCUGAGCCUGGUCCUUCUGUAAGGAUGAUAAUAGGCCACAAUAUAUGGCAUUAUCAGGCAAAGAAACCUCAGAUGUGUCGAUCUCUGGAUUUACAACACUCAUAUAAACCUCCUGGCCCAGAUACCAUGAGUUGAGAUUUUCUGCUCG
RNAcentral lists this unclassified non-coding RNA (259 nucleotides) under Hevea brasiliensis (rubber tree). The record is from RNAcentral. Lineage: Eukaryota; Viridiplantae; Streptophyta; Magnoliopsida; Malpighiales; Euphorbiaceae.